GACGAACGCUGGCGGCGUGCUUAACACAUGCAAGUCGAACGGUGAAGCGCCUUCCUUUUUGGUGGGUGUGGAUGAGUGGCGAACGGGUGAGUAACACGUGGGUAACCUGCCCCCUUCUUCUGGAUAACCGCAUGAAAGUGUGGCUAAUACGGGAUAUUCUGGGUCUGUCGCAUGAUGGGUCUGGGAAAGAUAUUGUUUCGGUGGGGGAUGGGCUCGCGGCCUAUCAGCUUGUUGGUGGGGUGAUGGCCUACCAAGGCGGUGACGGGUAGCCGGCCUGAGAGGGUGGACGGUCACACUGGGACUGAGACACGGCCCAAACUCCUACGGGAGGCAGCAGUGGGGAAUAUUGCACAAUGGGCGCAAGCCUGAUGCAGCGACGCCGCGUGAGGGAUGGAGGCCUUCGGGUUGUGAACCUCUUUCGCCAGUGAAGCAGGCCUGCCUCGUUUGUGGGUGGGUUGACGGUAGCUGGAUAAGAAGCGCCGGCUAACUACGUG
RNAcentral lists this ribosomal RNA (494 nucleotides) under uncultured bacterium. RNAcentral describes it as "partial 16S ribosomal RNA". It matches the Rfam family "Bacterial small subunit ribosomal RNA", at positions 28 to 507 of the family's 1533-position model. The record is from RNAcentral.